AUGGAGUCAGAGUUGGCGCGGGCGGUCGUCGUGUCUGUGGGCGGCUCGCGCCCAAGUCUGGACCUUGCUGAUGCUACUGCGGUGCUCCAUGUGGAUUUCGGCUGUGGGCCGAUGGAUAUGUCCAUCCACGCGUUCUUCCUGGAAGAUUUCCUGGUCCUUUGCAGGACGGUGGAGCUCAAGGACCGUAUGGUGGAUCGAGGUCUGGCCAUGGCCGGGGAGACUCCGCUCAUGCUCGCGCCCUGGCUCUGCCAGUCAUGGGAUGUUGGCAUUGCCAUGCCAUAUCUGGUGCAGCACGCGCUGGUUGGCAUCCCGGCGAAUGCGUGGUCUCGGCGGGCAACACAUGAAGUUUUGCGGGGCAUCGGUUUGGUUGUCAAGGUCGCGGAUUGCACGACCAGGUGGAGCGACAUGUCCAGCUUCAGGGUUUGGCUGCGGACGGACGAUCCUAACCGGAUUCCUCCUCAGCGCAUCCUGGUGGUGGAGGAGCCGCGUCGGCAGCAGGCGCCUGGCCGGGAGGAUGCGGUGGAUGCCUUCUGGUAUCCGGUGGAGAUCAUCAAGGAGUCCCCGUUGGUCCGGCCAUCGUGGGGAUCUGCCCCCCACCUCCCCCCCGGUCACCACCGCCGCCGCCAGACUCUGACGAGGAUGUGGAUGGUCGCGGUGGUGGGGAUGGAACGUGGCCCGGCAAUGGAGGGGCGCGCGUUGCUCCGACGCCGCCUUCAGAUGGCCAGACGGGCUCGGUGCAGGAGUCAUCUGCAUCAGCGGUGA
Molecule: ribosomal RNA, 762 nt
Filed under: Triticum aestivum (bread wheat)
Lineage: Eukaryota; Viridiplantae; Streptophyta; Magnoliopsida; Poales; Poaceae
Description: partial small subunit ribosomal RNA
Source: RNAcentral